AUUUUUUCCUUUAUCUAGCUUUCGAAUAAACAAGAAAAUUGAAUAAGUUUUGGAAUGAGAAGAUAUUUGGGUUUGAAAUUUUUACAGAAAAAAGAUUUUAGAGGAAAGUUUACGGUUCUUGUUAUUAUUUUUUAAUAGAAUUAAUUCAAUUUUUCUCAAAUUGUUUGGUAUCAUAUAUGAUCUUAGGCUAAUCCAGAGAAAGCCACCGAACAACUCUGUCUAAACCCUAAACCUCCUUAACCAUGUCGCCGGCUUCGCUUCGCCCCCGUUGUCUUCUCUCUUAUCCACUUCACUCACCUUCCCUAAGGGUUAUAUCAUUACUCGCAACAUUUCUAGAGCGCCUCGUUUCUGCCUCUGCUUCAUCACAUCAACCUUGUUGCACAACAGCAAUUUUAUCAAGAAAUCUUACUUUUGACUCUAGUUCAGGCUUCAACUUCAAUACCCAUUCUGUUGAAGGAAGUGAUCUUGGUGAGAAUAUUGAUGGUUCUGACAAAGACUCUGGAGAUUCAAGUUUCUUUGGUAGUCAUUAUGGGGACGUUGAAAAGAAUAAAAAAUCUAAACUUGAUAGAUUUGAUGAGGUUGAGGAUUCUGAUGAAGAAGUAGAAGAUGGUGAGUAUAAUAGUGAUUGUAAUGAUACCUUCACAGUUUUGGAAUCUUUUGAUAAAAAUUGUAUCAAUAGAGAAGAUGUAAGGAGAGUUGAAGCGGAGGAAGAUGAACUUAGACACCCUUUAGUGAGAGAAGUUUGUAGGUUGAUUGAACUGAGGUCAGCUUGGAGCCCAAAGCAUGAAGAGGAAUUGAGACACCUGUUACGAAGCCUCAAGUCUCAGCAUGUUUGUGCUGUUUUGCGUUCUCAGACUGAUGAACGUGUUGCUUUGAAGUUUUUCUACUGGGCUGAUAGGCAAUGGCGUUAUCGGCAUGAUACAAUAGUUUAUUAUGUAAUGCUUGAAGUCCUCAGUAAGACAAAGUUGUGUCAGGGUGCUAAGCGGGUUCUCCGGCUUAUGAUACGUAGGGGAAUUAACUGCUGGCCUGAAGCGUUUAGUUAUGUAAUGGUGUCUUACAGCCGGGCAGGCAAGUUGAGAAAUGCAAUGCAGAUACUGACUAUGAUGCAAAAGGCUGGCGUCAAACCUGACUUAUUGAUAUGUAACACUGCAAUUCAUGUUUUGGUGGUGGGAAACAAGUUGGAGAAGGCAUUGAGGUUUGUGAAAAGGAUGCAACUUGUUGGCAUUACACCUAAUGUUGUCACUUAUAACAGUUUGAUCAAGGGAUGUUGUAAUUUGCAAUGCAUUGAGGAUGCCCUGGAGCUGAUCGCUGAAAUGCCUCAUAAAGGAUGUUCUCCAGAUAGAGUUAGUUACUUUACUGUAAUGGGUUUUCUAUGCAAGGAGAAAAGAAUUAAAGAAGUGAGAAACUUAAUGGAGCAGAUGGUGACAGAUGGAAAUUUGUUACACGAUCAGGUUACUUAUGAAACUCUUAUCCAUAUGCUCUCAAAGCAUGGCCAUGGUGAUGAGGCUCUUAAAUUUCUGAAAGAGGCUGAAGAUAAGGGAUUUCAGGUUGAUAAAGUAGCAUAUAGUGCUAUUAUUCACUCUUUUUGUAAGGACGGAAGAAUACAGGAGGCAAAAGAACUGGUGAAUCAAAUGUUUCAAAAGGGUUGUAUUCCUGAUGUAGUUACUUACACUGCUGUUGUUAAUGGAUUUUGUCGGGUGGGAAAAUUGGACCUCGCCAGAAAGAUGCUUCAGCAAAUGUACAAGCAUGGCUGCAAACCAAACACUGUGUCAUAUACUGCCUUAUUAAAUGGGCUUUGUCGUAAUGGAAAAUCAUUAGAAGCUAGAGAGAUGAUUAACAUGAGUGAGGAAGAAUGGUGGACUCCUAAUGCCAUCACUUAUAGUGUUGUGAUGCAUGGGCUGCGGAGGGAAAGGAAACUAUCUGAGGCUUGUGAUGUGGUGAGAGAGAUGAUUAAAAGGGACUUUUUUCCAACACCAGUUGAAAUUAACUUAUUAAUUCAGUCUCUUUGUCAAGAGGGAAAAAUCAAUGAGGCUAAAAAGUUCAUGGAGGAAUGCCUAAACAAGGGAUGUGCUGUUAAUGUAGUGAACUUUACUACUGUGAUUCACGGAUUUUGUCAGAAUGAUGACUUGGAUGCUGCUCUUUCAUUGCUGGAUGACAUGUAUUUGAGCAACAAACAUCCUGAUGCAGUCACUUAUACGACGAUUAUUGAUGCUUUGGGGAGAAAAGGUAGAAUAGAAGAGGCAAGUGAACUUAGUAACCAAAUGCUUCGAAAAGGUUUGGUUCCAACAGCUGUUACAUACAGGACAAUUAUCCAUUGGUAUUGUCAGAUGGGUAGAGUGGAAGAUUUGUUACAAUUGCUAGAGAAGAUGCUUUCAAGACAAAAGUGUAGAACAGCUUAUAAUCAAGUUAUCGAGAAGCUAUGUAAUUUUGGAAAUUUGGAAGAGGCUGAUAAACUCUUGAGUAAGGUCUUAAGAACUGCUUCAAAAGUUGAUGCUAGGACAUGCCAUGUGCUUAUGGAAAGUUACAUGAGCAAAGGGAUUCCUUUGUCUGCAUAUAAAGUAGCUUGUCGUAUGUUUAAUCGGAAUCUGAUCCCUGAUUUAAAGUUGUGUGAGAAGGUGAGCAAGAAACUAGUCUUUGAAGGAAAAUCAGAAGAGGCAAAUAACCUUAUGCUAAGAUUUGUUGAGCGUGGAAAAAUUCAACCUUAUAAUCAAGAACAUUUGCAAAGCUAGAGCCUGAUGUGUUCUUAUAAACUUAAUAUUCUGGAUGGAUAUGAUUUCAUUUCCCUUUUGCUUUUCUCUGGUGCUAUCUACAGCUAUUCUGCACAAGCAACUUUGCAUGGCCUUAAUGAUGGGAGUCAACAUAUCUGAGUUCCCACUUGGAUUUCCAAAUGGCAAAUUAAUGGAGCUUGGUUUGAUGCCAUUCUGAGAACCAAUGGAAAGCUUGGCUUGAUGACAAGAAAGAAACUAACGUGCUGGUAAGUGGCUGAUCUGGUUGUGAUUUUGGUGAAGAUGGUGGCAUAUUUCAUGGCUCCAUGGCGUGGGUCUUGCAAAUUCGUGAAACUGUAAAUUAAAUUAUUAGCUUCCAAACUUAUUCAGGCACUGUGUUUAUCAAGAUUGAUAGAAUAAGCUGUAGGAAGCAGAGGCAAAAGAAAAUCUGAAAAUUGUUAAUUAGUAAAUCAGUUCUUGUAUCCGGGAGCAAGAUUUAAAAUUGUCUGAACUGGAAUCUGAAAAUCAGAAAAUCAAAGUUGAGCUGGAGGACUUCGAGGACAGAAGCCUCUCACUUGAAGAACAGCAGGCAUUUAUAAGACUUGAAGAGCACAAUCGCCAGUUAAGCAACAGGUUAGCAAUUCUCUGCAAACCGUCGUCACAAUGGUACCGAUUCUGUGGUAUUUAAAUUUCUACUCUGCAAUGGUGGUGAAUCUUAAUGUUGUUAGUUGUAUUGGCUUUCCGAAAUUGGGAUUCGGAUUAGAGGUGAUGCAUAAGCAAUUUCUAUCAAGUGCGUGCUUUAUACUUA
This is an RNA transcript of Mangifera indica (mango), 3513 nucleotides long. It is a transcript of the gene named pentatricopeptide repeat-containing protein At5g41170, mitochondrial-like, with no coding region annotated. The record is from RefSeq and is a predicted model, not a curated record. The transcript is spliced from 6 exons. Lineage: Eukaryota; Viridiplantae; Streptophyta; Magnoliopsida; Sapindales; Anacardiaceae.